ACGUCCAUUUAAUAAGAUCUAUGCCUUCGGUGACUCAUUCACCGACACUGGUAACACAAAGACUGCGACUGGCCCUAGUGGCUUUGGCCAUGUCUCCACCUCUCCAUACGGCAGCACAUAUUUCCACCACCCGACCAACCGAUACUCCGAUGGGCGGCUGGUGAUUGACUUUGUAACUCAAUCCCUGUCACUACCAUUCUUGCCACCUUACCUUCACAACAAAGAUA
RNAcentral lists this long non-coding RNA (227 nucleotides) under Citrus maxima (pomelo). Its description in RNAcentral is "long non-coding RNA (CMAX_LNC002097)". Lineage: Eukaryota; Viridiplantae; Streptophyta; Magnoliopsida; Sapindales; Rutaceae. The record is from RNAcentral.